UGGUAGAAGGAUAAAAUCCGUAAAUAAAUUUACAAUUUAUUGCCUAAACUCGGCCAUUCUACC
RNAcentral lists this transfer RNA (63 nucleotides) under Machla setosa. RNAcentral's name for it is "tRNA-Tyr". The record is from RNAcentral. Lineage: Eukaryota; Metazoa; Arthropoda; Insecta; Coleoptera; Tenebrionidae.